RNAcentral lists this ribosomal RNA (176 nucleotides) under Vibrio sp. MED222. RNAcentral describes it as "partial 23S ribosomal RNA". It matches the Rfam family "Bacterial large subunit ribosomal RNA", at positions 2764 to 2925 of the family's 2925-position model. Lineage: Bacteria; Pseudomonadati; Pseudomonadota; Gammaproteobacteria; Vibrionales; Vibrionaceae. The record is from RNAcentral.
AUAACCGCUGAAAGCAUCUAAGCGGGAAGCGAGCCUUGAGAUGAGUUUUCCCUGACGCUAUAAGCGUCCUAAAGGGUUGUCGUAGACUACGACGUUGAUAGGCAGGGUGUGUAAGUGCUGCGAGGCAUUGAGCUAACCUGUACUAAUUGCCCGUGAGGCUUAACCAUACAACACCC